UACACAUCUUCAGAUGGGAAACAGGUC
RNAcentral lists this non-coding RNA (27 nucleotides) under Mus musculus (house mouse). The record is from RNAcentral. Lineage: Eukaryota; Metazoa; Chordata; Mammalia; Rodentia; Muridae.